UAUUGGACAAUGGGCGCAAGCCUGAUCCAGCCAUGCCGCGUGGGUGAUGAAGGCCCUAGGGUUGUAAAGCUCUUUUGUGCGGGAAGAUAAUGACGGUACCUGAAGAAUAAGCACCGGCUAACUACGUGCCAGCAGCCGCGGUAAUACGUAGGGUGCAAGCGUUAAUCGGAAUUACUGGGCGUAAAGCGUGCGCAGGCGGUUAUACAAGACAGGCGUGAAAUCCCCGGGCUUAACCUGGGAAUGGCGCCUGUGACUGUAUAGCUAGAGUGUGUCAGAGGGUGGUAGAAUUCCACGUGUAGCAGUGAAAUGCGUAGAUAUGUGGAGGAAUACCAAUGGCGAAGGCAGCCCCCAGGGAUAACACUGACGCUCAUGCACGAAA
Molecule: ribosomal RNA, 379 nt
Filed under: uncultured bacterium
Lineage: Bacteria
Description: bacterial SSU rRNA
Rfam family: Bacterial small subunit ribosomal RNA
Source: RNAcentral